AACCUUUACACUGCACGACAGUGCGAUAGGGGGACUCCGAGUGCGAGGGCAUAUAGCCCUCGCUUUUCUGAACCGUAAGGUGGUUCAGGAACAAGGACUGGGCAAGACCGGUGCCAGCCGCCGCGGUAAUACCGGCAGUCCGAGUGAUGGCCGAUAUUAUUGGGCCUAAAGCGUCCGUAGCCGGCCGGACAAGUCCGUUGGGAAAUCCACGCGCUCAACGCGUCGGCGUCCAGCGGAAACUGUCCGGCUUGGGGCCGGAAGACCUGAGGGGUACGUCCGGGGUAGGAGUGAAAUCCCGUAAUCCUGGACGGACCACCGAUGGCGAAAGCACCUUGAGAGGACGGACCCGACGGUGAGGGACGAAAGCCAGGGUCUCGAACCGGAUUAGAUACCCGGGUAGUCCUGGCCGUAAACGAUGUUCGCUAGGUGUGGCGCAGGCUACGAGCCUGCGCUGUGCCGUAGGGAAGCCGUGAAGCGAACCGCCUGGGAAGUACGUCUGCAAGGAUGAAACUUAA
Molecule: ribosomal RNA, 515 nt
Filed under: uncultured archaeon
Lineage: Archaea
Description: bacterial SSU rRNA
Rfam family: Archaeal small subunit ribosomal RNA
Source: RNAcentral